RNAcentral lists this long non-coding RNA (216 nucleotides) under Glycine max (soybean). RNAcentral describes it as "long non-coding RNA (GMAX_LNC001068)". Lineage: Eukaryota; Viridiplantae; Streptophyta; Magnoliopsida; Fabales; Fabaceae. The record is from RNAcentral.
ACCCUUUCACAAUAGGCUUAACCUUGUAAUACUAUCAGGGUCUGACUCCUCUAUGAUGACCUUUCAACUUAUCAGUUAUAACUCCAUUUCAAGAAGGCCAUCACUUCAAAGGUAAAAAAUAUCCGUUAUACAAUUUAAUUCUUUAAAUACAAUCAAGGGACAAUUACAUUAACCAUGCGAUGAAUGUUGCCUACUGUACUGCAUCAACAUUUUUCC